CAGAAAAUGAGAGACGAAUUUAUAUUGAAUCUCUUCAUUGAUAAGAACAGGAGGCAUAGUAAUAAUGGCGAGAUAUCGUUUCAGUCGUCAUAUAAUCAGAUUGACGAUUCGAUUGUUGCUCGUCUACAU
Small nucleolar RNA from Cornus florida, 129 nucleotides. RefSeq annotates it as small nucleolar RNA snoR111. Lineage: Eukaryota; Viridiplantae; Streptophyta; Magnoliopsida; Cornales; Cornaceae. The record is from RefSeq and is a predicted model, not a curated record. The transcript has a single exon.